CUUUCUGUUAUCUAUCUUUUUAUUUUAUCCGGAUCUGCCUAUCUAAUUCUCAAUUUAAUCACUAUCGUAACGUCACUCGGAGAUGAUGCAAAGGAUUGCAAGCCGUCUAAUUCAGUAUCGAGCAUCGACUCGCGCCGCUCAUUCGAUUGCUGAUAAGGGAAUCUUCUAUAGGGUCGUGCUAGAUCCUCCAUGUGGGUUUAGACCUUAUGAGCGUGAAGACAGGGAAAGCUGGUACAAGUCUACUUUGGAGGCAUGCAAAAUUGAUCAAAAUAAAAUCAAGACUACUUAUAGAGAUCAUGAGUAUGUGUUUAAAGGCUACCUGGUGAAAACUCAAGUAAAAAAACUACCAGUUAUGGAGGGAUUCAUUGCUAUGAAACGUGUCGACCUUGAUAAAUAAUAACUGUGUCUAAAGACUACCUGGUGAAAGAUCAAGCAAAAAGACUACCAGCUAUGGAGGGAUUUACUUCUAUGAAAUGUAUCGACCUUGAUAAGUAAUAACUCUUU
Erigeron canadensis is the source of this 504-nucleotide long non-coding RNA. RefSeq lists it as uncharacterized. Lineage: Eukaryota; Viridiplantae; Streptophyta; Magnoliopsida; Asterales; Asteraceae. The record is from RefSeq and is a predicted model, not a curated record. The transcript is spliced from 3 exons.